Molecule: ribosomal RNA, 556 nt
Filed under: Stachybotrys echinatus
Lineage: Eukaryota; Fungi; Ascomycota; Sordariomycetes; Hypocreales; Stachybotryaceae
Description: LSU rRNA
Rfam family: Eukaryotic large subunit ribosomal RNA
Source: RNAcentral
AAACCAACAGGGAUUGCCUCAGUAACGGCGAGUGAAGCGGCAACAGCUCAAAUUUGAAAUCUGGCCCCAGGCCCGAGUUGUAAUUUGCAGAGGAUGCUUUUGGCGCGGUGCCUUCCGAGUUCCCUGGAACGGGACGCCAUAGAGGGUGAGAGCCCCGUCUGGUUGGACACCAAGCCUCUGUAAAGCUCCUUCGACGAGUCGAGUAGUUUGGGAAUGCUGCUCAAAAUGGGAGGUAUAUGUCUUCUAAAGCUAAAUACCGGCCAGAGACCGAUAGCGCACAAGUAGAGUGAUCGAAAGAUGAAAAGCACUUUGAAAAGAGAGUUAAAUAGCACGUGAAAUUGUUAAAAGGGAAGCGUUUAUGACCAGACUUGGGCCGGUUAAUCAUCCAGCGUUCUCGCUGGUGCACUUUGCCGGUCCAGGCCAGCAUCAGUUCGUCGCGGGGGAUAAAGGCGUCGGGAAUGUGGCUCCUCGGAGUGUUAUAGCCCUUCGCGCAAUACCCUGCGGUGGACUGAGGUUCGCGCUCUGCAAGGAUGCUGGCGUAAUGGUCAUCAACGAC